This 522-nucleotide unclassified non-coding RNA is filed under the name Hevea brasiliensis (rubber tree). Lineage: Eukaryota; Viridiplantae; Streptophyta; Magnoliopsida; Malpighiales; Euphorbiaceae. The record is from RNAcentral.
GGAAGACUUAAGAUCUUCUGUACAUAAGUACGCGUGGGUUCGAACCCCACAGCCUGCAAAUUUUGUUCCACAAUUCACGUUCAAGUUGGUUUCUUUUAUCGUGUUAGCUCUUUUAUCGUGUUAGCGUAUUGUUUUUCUUCUUUUCUACACGUCCUGGACUGAAGAAGCCACCUCCACGUAACGUUAUGUUCCAGUUUCCACACCCCUCCUUUUAGGCUCUGGAAAUGAAAACAAAGCAAAAACGUUUCGCAAGUGACAACGAAAAAACAUUCGGUCGACUAACCUUCCAUGAGUCGGGGACCUACUGCACCCACAAUUGCCCGCAAUGACUCCCACGAGCCACCACCUCCAUUUCUGGACGUUUACAACAUAAUCCUUAUCCAUGACCUCCUAUCUGACCAUCCGUCCCUCCGCUACCCUGAGGUGCGAGCCGCCGCCGCCGCCGCCUUAGGAGACGUCAGUAACCUGUCGAGGCCGCCGUUUGUUACUCUGGACCUGCACAUGGACUUGAUGGACUGGUUG